This 253-nucleotide ribosomal RNA is filed under the name uncultured bacterium. Its description in RNAcentral is "partial 16S ribosomal RNA". It matches the Rfam family "Bacterial small subunit ribosomal RNA", at positions 524 to 776 of the family's 1533-position model. The record is from RNAcentral.
UACGGAGGGAGCUAGCGUUGUGCGGAAUUACUGGGCGUAAAGCGCGCGUAGGCGGCUUUGUAAGUUAGAGGUGAAAGCCCGGAGCUCAACUCCGGAACUGCCUUUAAAACUGCAUCGCUUGAAUCCAGGAGAGGUGAGUGGAAUUCCGAGUGUAGAGGUGAAAUUUGUAGAUAUUCGGAAGAACACCAGUGGCGAAGGCGGCUCACUGGCCUGGUAUUGACGCUGAGGUGCGAAAGCGUGGGGAGCAAACAGG